AUGCAAGUCGAGCGCAUGGCUUCGGCCAUGAGCGGCGGACGGGUGAGUAACACGUAGGUCAUCUGCCUUUUGGUGGGGAAUAACCCAAGGAAACUCGGGCUAAUACCGCAUACGGUCCACGGAUCAAAGCCUUCGGGCGCCAAAAGAUGAGCCUGCGUCGCAUUACCUAGUUGGUGGGGUAACGGCCCACCAAGGGGACGAUGCGUAGCUGGUCUGAGAGGAUGAUCAGGCACACUGGGACUGAGACACGGCCCAGACUCCUACGGGAGGCAGCAGUGGGGAAUAUUGCGCAAUGGGGGAAACCCUGACGCAGGCACGCCGCGUGGGUGAUGAAGGGCUUCGGGUUGUAAAGCCCUGUCGGGAGGGACGAAAACUGAUGGUACCUCCCAAGAAAGCACCGGCUAACUCCGUGCCAGCAGCCGCGGUAAUACGGAGGGUGCGAGCGUUGCUCGGAAUCACUGGGCGUAAAGCGUACGCAGGCUGCCUGUCAAGUCGGGUGUGAAAGCCCGGGGCUCAACCCCCGGAAUUGCGCCCGAGACUGCCAGGCUUGAAUGCGGGAGAGGGAAGCGGAAUUCCUGGUGUAGAGGUGAAAUUCGUAGAUAUCAGGAGGAACACCAGUGGCGAAAGCGGCUUCCUGGCCCGACAUUGACGCUCAUGUACGANAGCGCGGGGAGCAAACAGGAUUAGAUACCCUGGUAGUCCGCGCCAUAAACGAUGAGUGCUAGCUGCUGAG
This 733-nucleotide ribosomal RNA is filed under the name uncultured bacterium. RNAcentral describes it as "bacterial SSU rRNA". It matches the Rfam family "Bacterial small subunit ribosomal RNA", at positions 55 to 827 of the family's 1533-position model. The record is from RNAcentral.